UUUAAUGAUAAAGUAAUAAAUGAAGGGAAAAGAAACGACAACAUUACUUCUAAUAAUUCCAAUAGUAAUAAUACAGUCCUUGAGGAGGGUACACAAUAUGAUAAAUGUAGUACUAACAGCGAAAAAAAAAAAAUCCGUUUUUAUAUGAACCGUUCAUACACAAAACAAAGCAUUAUAACAAAAAUAGAGGCUAUUUUUACGUUAUUAUUAUAUACGAAGAUUUAUUAUAUUUAUACUGCUAUUACAACUGAUGCUGCUAGUGGUAGGUAUUAUAAAAAAAAAAAAAAAAAAAAUGAAAACGAAAACGAAAACAUUAGUUUGAUAAAUAUGAACACACAAACAAUUUUUAAACAGCUUGUGAAGAAAAAAAAAAACAGACGACUGGACAAGAGAAAGCUAUUAGGGCAUGACGAAAAAGGGAAAGACGAAAAAAACUACACAUACUUAACUUAUCAAAUUAUAAAAAAUAUUUUAAAACACAUAUUAAAUAGUAAAAUAAACAUAUCGUUUAUAAAACUAGUAGAAGAAGUAUAUUUUGAAUUAUAUAACAUACGUGUUGUUAAACACAAUUUGAAUAAUAUAAUCCCGUCGACAAAAGUGCAUGAACAGACUCUGUUUUUAAAUCUUUUACAUAAGUUCUUAAACCUAACACAUUUUGAGUAUCAUGGGUGUAAUGUCAGUUCUAUGCUAUCGCAUUAUUAUUUUUUUUACCAACCGAAAGAUGAUCAUACAUAUAGCAAUAGCCAUAGUCUUAAUUAUAAUUGUAAUAAUGAUUAUGUUAAUAAAAACAUUCUUCAUAAAUAUGAAAAUGUAGUAAGCAAAUAUGAAGAAAUAGAGCAGGACAAAUAUAAUACAUGUUCAGAAAAAAAAAAAAAAAAAAAAACUUAUAUAAUAAAAACACGUAUGAACAUUAUUAUAAUUAUUCAUUAGCUAACUACAUUUUAAAUACGAAAAAAGAAAAUGAACUGAAAUGUAAAUUGUUUAUAGAUAAAAAAAAUAUAUAUUACUGGUUUAAUUUGUUGUACAAUUUUAAUUAUGAUAAGGAAAUUAUGAGUGUACAUUUUGAUUUUAAACCAAUUAAUAUCUUAACAAUACCUUUUAUAGUUUAUAAAACAAAAAAAGAAGAAAAUUAUAAAAAUUUAUCUUUUUUUUCUGUUUAUAUAAUGCACCUGUUGAAUCGUAAUUGGUACUUGUUUGAGAAAUAUGAGCGUUUAUUAUGUUUGGGAAAGAACAAAACAGAGCAUAGACAACUAUGGAAAAAUAUAAAACGUGACACUACCACUGGUGGUGUUACUAAUUUUGAUGGUACUACCUACACUAAUGCUGUUAAUACAGACUGUUACAAACUACUUAAGCGUAAAAAGAGUAUUAUACGACACUUAAAGCAUGAACAAACUAAUAAAUAUGAUAAUAAUAAUAAGAAGAAAAAAAAAAACAAAAACUUGUAUCGUAUUAUAUAUAAAAAACAAUUACAUACAAAAAGACGUAUUGUACAUACGAAUUCGGUUAGUAACGAUUUAAUUAUGGGACCAACUGAAAGAGAGAACAACUCCGAUGAUGGUUAUAUUAUUAGUGAUAACAGUAACAGUUGUAAAACCGAAUUGAAUUUGUGUGAUGUACCAACUGACGUUUAUAAUAUAAGUACAAUAACAUAUGAGGAUUAUAAUUUAGAUACAGUUGGAUUGUAUUUAACUGAAUUUUAUGAAGUUAUAAAAGAUGCAUAUUUAUUUAUAAAAAAUAAUAAAAGUAUGAUUUUAAAAAAGAAUAAAGAUUGUGUUUAUAUAAGAGAGAUUGAUUUUAUUUAUCAAUAUAGUUUAUAUAUUAUUUUUAAUAAGUGGUUAAAAUAUGAUUGCGUUGAUAAAUUAAAGUUUAUAAAAAUGAUAAAGAAUGGAUUUCCUACUCAAUUAAGAGACGUCGUUUAUAUAAAUUUACUUUGCUCCAAUUAUCAUUUGUUAAAAGAAAAGGCAUUAGAAAGGGAUGAACAAAUAGAGGCUUUGAUUAACUUGAUCGGGAGGGAUAGUAGUGGCAACGGUAGUAGCAGUAGUAGUAGCAGUAGUAGUAGCUGUAGUAGUGGCAACGGUAGUAGCAGUAGUAGUAGCAGUAGUAGUAGCUGUAGUAGUAGCAAUAGCUAUAGCAGUAGUAGUAGCAAAAGUAGUAGCUGUAGCAUUAGAAGUAACAAACAGCACGAGAAUAAUGACAGUGACAUCAGAAAUGACAAAAAAAUGGAGCAUACAUCGCCCAACCAAAGAAACAUCCAUAAAAAUAACAUGAACGGGAAAUACCAACACAAGCAAUAUAUGCAAGUGCAUAAAUUUAUAAAAAGAAAAUUCGAACACAGUAAUGACUUGAUUAGUAGCCCAGAAUUUUCAAAAAGGAUAUAUGGUUUAUCGUUAAUAAUAAAAAAAAAGUUAAACUUUAAAAAUAAAUACUUUUUAUAUUUAUUAACAUCAAUUAGUAUUUUAUAUUAUGACAAUUUAUAUUUCAAUUAUAAAUGUAUAAAAAAGAUGAUUAAAAGUUAUUUACUUGAUUUAUAUAAUAGUAAACAUAAUUUAAAAAUAUUUAUUUAUUUUUUUAAUAAUCUUUUAACUUAUAAUUCACCUGACAUAGCAAUAUAUUUAUUUAAGAAUAAUAUAAAUAUAUAUAAAUUAGUAAAAGGAUGGGUAUGUUCCUUAUUUUCCAAUUUUUUUAAUUUACAAAAUAUAUUUUUGUUAUUAGACCGAAUUCUUUUACAGCCUAGAUCUUACAUACUUUUUAUUUGUGUAUCUAUUUUUAUAUAUUUAAAAAAGUUUAUUUUAAAAAGUUGUAAAACUAAUUUUCAUAACAAAAUUAAAUGCUUAGCAAACAUGAUUAAUCUAAAUUAUAUUUUUAAAUUGUCUGAUAGCUUGUUCAGCAGUUGUCAAGUGGAACACAAUACUGCAUUUGUCAACAUAAAUGAGUAUAUAAAUGUUAACAAUGUUAAUGAUAAUAUAUUAAGCACAAAUAGAAUAGAUAAAAACGGUACUUCCACUUAUAAUUUAUAUGAUAACAUGAAUUAUUUUUUGUAUUUGAUGAGUGGACACACAUGGUCAGACUAUUAUGUUCAUAAAAAUAGUUUUGAUAUUUACAAGCGGGUGCGAAGGCGUGAAGUUAUCCAGGUUGGACUAGCUACUGACACAGUUUUUAACGAUGAAUUAGCUAAACAGGUUGAACUAGCCAUUGAUGAUAUAUUUCCUAACAAAAAUGCGACUAACCAAUUGUCAAAAGAAAAGACAUUAUUAAGUAUAAAAAACAAAAGUUUGUUUGAUAAAGUACAAACUAGUUCACAGAAUGAAAACAAAAAAAAAUUUGACAUGGGUCAAAAAAAAAAAAAUAAAUUAAAAAAAUUAAAAGAAUUGAAAGAAUUGAAAGAAUUGAAAGAAUUGAAAGAAUUGAAAGAAUUGAAAGAAUUGAAAGAAUUGAAAGAAUUGAAAGAAUUGAAAGAAUUGAAAGAAUUAAAAGAGUUAAAAGAAUUAAAAGAAUUAAAAGAAUUAAAAAAAUUAAAAAAAUUAAAAAAAUUAAAAAAAUUAAAAAAUGAUAAAGCACAGUCGUUAAAAUUAGAACAGUACUAUGAAAAUUUUUUAAGAUGCUAUAAAAUAAAUACUAAAAAAAAUUUUAAAAAUUUUAUAGGCUAUAAAAAAGCUAAUUUAAAAACAAAUUAUAAAACAAAGGGAAAUUUGGAUAAAAAAAAUAAGUACAAUAAAAAUGAUGACUCAUUUGAUAUAUACUAUAAAAUAACAAAUGAAAAAAACAAAAAAAAAUUUAAAAAUACAGAUUUUGUUAAAUUAAUUAAUUUUCCAAUUUAUCCUUUUUUUUGUAUAUCUAAUUUGUCUGAUGAAUUAUCUCUUAACCAACAUAUAUUUGUUGAUAUGAGAACUGUUGAAAAAUUUAAUCAAAAAAGAUUAAAAAAUUCUGUACACAUUAAUAAUUUUUUGAUAAAUUUAAAAAGAGGGAUUUACAAUAGCUAUAUAAUAAAUGACAACGAUGAAGUUUACGAUAAUGAUAAUUAUAUUUUACAUAGUAAUAAUGAUUAUGAAACUUAUUUUAAUUUAAAAAGCAUAAUUCUAAUAUUUAAUGACUGUAUACUUGACUUUGAUGCUAUAUAUAACUUCUUAAAUUUAAAAAUUAAGUAUAUAAGCAUUUUACGAGGUGGAAUUGAAUAUGCCUUCAAAAAAUUACCACCCAGUUAUUUUGUGUGAGUCAGCUAUGUUAUACUGUAUACGCGGGGGGUAGUGAGGGUCAUGUAACAUAUGUGAGAGCAAUAGGGCAAACAUACAAAGACGCCAGCAAAAAAAAAAAUAAAAUAAAAUAAAAAAAAAAUAAAAAUAAAAAA
Molecule: long non-coding RNA, 4348 nt
Organism: Piliocolobus tephrosceles (Ugandan red Colobus)
Lineage: Eukaryota; Metazoa; Chordata; Mammalia; Primates; Cercopithecidae
Source: Ensembl